RNAcentral lists this ribosomal RNA (499 nucleotides) under uncultured bacterium. RNAcentral's name for it is "partial 16S ribosomal RNA". It matches the Rfam family "Bacterial small subunit ribosomal RNA", at positions 28 to 507 of the family's 1533-position model. The record is from RNAcentral.
GACGAACGCUGGCGGCGUGCCUAAUACAUGCAAGUCGAGCGGACUUUCAAGAAGCUUGCUUUUUGAAAGUUAGCGGCGGACGGGUGAGUAACACGUGGGCAACCUGCCUGCAAGACGGGGAUAACUCCGGGAAACCGGGGCUAAUACCGGAUAAUAUCUUCCUUCGCAUGAAGGAAGGUUGAAAGGCGGCGCAAGCUGCCGCUUGCAGAUGGGCCCGCGGCGCAUUAGCUAGUUGGUGAGGUAACGGCUCACCAAGGCGACGAUGCGUAGCCGACCUGAGGGGGUGAUCGGCCACACUGGGACUGAGACACGGCCCAGGCUCCUUCGGGAGGCAGCAGGAGGGAAUCUUCCGCAAUGGGCGGAAGGCUGACGGAGCAACGCCGCGGGAGCGAAGAAGGUCUUCGGAUCGUAAAGCUCUGUUGUCAGGGAAGAAAAAGUACCGUUCGAACAGGGCGGUACCUUGACGGUACCUGACCAGAAAGCCACGGCUAACUACGUG